GGCUGGAAGAGCACCGCAC
RNAcentral lists this small nuclear RNA (19 nucleotides) under Arabidopsis thaliana (thale cress). Its description in RNAcentral is "snRNA_06506". Lineage: Eukaryota; Viridiplantae; Streptophyta; Magnoliopsida; Brassicales; Brassicaceae. The record is from RNAcentral.